AUUGAACGCUGGCGGCAGGCCUAACACAUGCAAGUCGAACGGUAGCACAGAGAGCUUGCUCUCGGGUGACGAGUGGCGGACGGGUGAGUAAUGUCUGGGAAACUGCCCGAUGGAGGGGGAUAACUACUGGAAACGGUAGCUAAUACCGCAUAACGUCGCAAGACCAAAGUGGGGGACCUUCGGUCCUCACACCAUCGGAUGUGCCCAGAUGGGAUUAGCUAGUAGGUGGGGUAAUGGCUCACCUAGUCGACUACCCCUAGCUGGUCUGAGAGGAUGACCAGCCACACUGGGACUGAGACACGAUCCAGACUCCUGCGGGAGGCAGCAGUUGGGAAUAUUGCACAAUGGGUGCAAGCCUGAUGCAGCCAUGCCGCGUGUAUGAAGAAGGCCUUCGGGUUGUAAAGUACUUUCAGCGGGGAGGAAGGCGGUGAAGUUAAUAACUUCACCGAUUGACGUUACCCGCAGAAGAAGCACCGGCUAACUCCGUGCCAGCCGCCGCAGUAA
This 504-nucleotide ribosomal RNA is filed under the name uncultured bacterium. RNAcentral describes it as "partial 16S ribosomal RNA". It matches the Rfam family "Bacterial small subunit ribosomal RNA", at positions 30 to 523 of the family's 1533-position model. The record is from RNAcentral.